UUGCUUUAGCCUAACCGUCAAUAGGUGCUACAGUGUGAUUGGAACUGCAUAUUUAUCUAGUUCACAUAGCUGACAUGCCUCACUUGACAUAUUGGUUAAAGUGCGUCACACUAUUCCAUGUUACAAAUUCGAAAAAGGGUGGUUUGGUUUUACAAGUGGCAAGAGCAAUUGAUGUGCAAUAAUCUUAGAAUGCUGUAGCCUAUGCAUGCAAACCCCAUGCGUGUUUGUCAAAACAAACAACUUGCAGGUCGAUGACAGCAUGUACCCUGUUUGGAGGGAAAAAUCUUUACGUGUGCCCGUCUGACCACUUCUAUUGGGUGACACAUAAGAGGAGCAGUUCGGGAAAAAGGUUCACUUGACGAGGAGGCUGAGUUACGAGUAGGGACUACGGAAUCUCCCAACAGCUCGCACAAAUAAAUUGGGCUGGGAAAUUGGCGACGACUUGAUUGAGAGCGCGUGCAUAGCCCAGCAGGAAGAUUUGAAUGGUGAUGUAAAAUAUAAGGGGUUGGAGGAAUAUGGCCCUGAUUCCCCUGCUGUCGGAGAGAGGCCUAAUGGAGAUGUCUGGGACUUGGCCUACUGCUAAACCAACAUGAGCCCUCCCUUUUCGCCCUCGGCCUCUCUGUCUCUGGUGGAGGCUCUGGCUCGGAUAAGGUGUCAACUACAUAGAACACAACUACUAGUUAAUAUGGUGAGAGGAGCCAGACAGAGAGAAAGAGGAUAGCUUCUGAUUUGUCCAUGUGUUAAGUAUGGCCCGCAGAUCGAAGAGGUGGAGCAUCUAUCUGGGUGACUCUCUACAGCUGUCUCGAGUGGAGAGAGAGGCAUGGACUGUCAUUUCCAUCUGAUCAUCAACAACAGUCAAGAUACAGUAUGCUGAUGAAGGAUACAGCAAACUACUAUUUCUUAUCAGCAUGCAUAGUCAGCACUCAGUCAUUUCUGUAUCAUUGUGAUUUAAAAAUCAGUUGCAAAACUGUUUACAUUCUACUGGGCUGUAAAAGUACAACAUCAUUUAUUCUGAAUUGUAAAAGUCUUUAUUGUUGUACUGGAUUUCAUGUGAAUCUGUCCUUAGAAUUUAGUAUAAGUGAACCCACAGUGCACUUGCUCUUCAUCUGAAAUAUGAAUUGAUUGAAACAGUACAUCAAGACAAUAUUUUUGUACGUUCUCAAAUCACUGUAUUUUCUCAAUAAAUGGAAUAAAGUAUAUUCA
This is a long non-coding RNA of Oncorhynchus nerka (sockeye salmon), 1203 nucleotides long. RefSeq lists it as uncharacterized. The transcript has 5 exons. Lineage: Eukaryota; Metazoa; Chordata; Actinopteri; Salmoniformes; Salmonidae. The record is from RefSeq and is a predicted model, not a curated record.